ACUCUUCACUGAGCAGCAUACGCCCUCUUUUGGAUAUUCUUCCAAGUUUCUAUUUUCCAACUUUAGUGAAAUAUACUUCAGUAAGCACGUACACAGAUUCAACAGAAGAUAUGGGAUCGAAGUCUGAAUCCGUUUGUGUCACUGGCGCGUCCGGUUUCAUCGGCUCCUGGCUCGUCAUGAGACUCCUCGAGCGCGGUUACACCUUCCGUGCCACCGUGCGUGACCCCACGAAUCAAAGAAGGUGAAGCAUCUGUUGGACUUGCCGAAGGCGGAGACGCACCUGACGCUGUGGAAGGCGGAUCUGGCGGGCGAGGGAAGCUUUGAUGAAGCCAUACAAGGCAGCACCGGAGUGUUCCAUGUUGCUACACCUAUGGACUUUGAGUCCAAGGACCCCGAGAACGAAGUGAUCUAGCCAACAAUCAAUGGACUUUUGGACAUCCUGAAGGCAUGCCAGAAAAUCAAAACAGUUCGAAGGUUGGUGUUCACAUCCUCAGCAGGGGAAUCGGAUCCCAAUAAUUUGAGCCUAAGGAUUAGUAAAUCAGGAUCGUUGAAAUUUGAUCAAAUGGCUACAAACAGGGACCUUUCUAAAAGUUAUAAUAAUUGUAGUCAUUUGAUCAAAUUUCAACGGCCCGGAUUCAUUGAUUAGUGGGCUCAGAUUAUUGGGAUCUGGAGGAGAUCCGGUUCCCUCAGCAGGAACCGUUAUUAUGGAAGAGCACAAAACGUCGGUCUACGACGAAUCCAACUGGAGCGACUUGAAUUUUGCCGCUCCAUCAAGACGACUGGUUGGGUAAAUAAACAUGAUCGAUUUGUUAUUGGUAUUUCAAAAUAAUAGUCGCGAACAAUACAUAUUCUAAAUUUAA
Malus domestica (apple) is the source of this 860-nucleotide non-coding RNA. NCBI's taxonomy places the organism in Eukaryota, Viridiplantae, Streptophyta, Magnoliopsida, Rosales, Rosaceae. The record is from RefSeq and is a predicted model, not a curated record.